RNAcentral lists this transfer RNA (70 nucleotides) under Crocidura shantungensis quelpartis. RNAcentral's name for it is "tRNA-Ile". It matches the Rfam family "tRNA". From Rfam's summary of the family: Transfer RNA (tRNA) molecules are approximately 80 nucleotides in length. Their secondary structure includes four short double-helical elements and three loops (D, anti-codon, and T loops). Further hydrogen bonds mediate the characteristic L-shaped molecular structure. tRNAs have two regions of fundamental functional importance: the anti-codon, which is responsible for specific mRNA codon recognition, and the 3' end, to which the tRNAs corresponding amino acid is attached (by aminoacyl-tRNA synthetases). tRNAs cope with the degeneracy of the genetic code in two manners: having more than one tRNA (with a specific anti-codon) for a particular amino acid; and 'wobble' base-pairing, i.e. permitting non-standard base-pairing at the 3rd anti-codon position. Lineage: Eukaryota; Metazoa; Chordata; Mammalia; Eulipotyphla; Soricidae. The record is from RNAcentral.
AGAAAUAUGUCUGAUAAAAUGAGUUACUUUGAUAGAGUAAAUUAUAGAGGUUUAAAUCCUCUUAUUUCUA